GCACUGCUGAGGAGUCCCACAAUAGGACGAACUGGCCGUCCAGUGC
This is a non-coding RNA of Schistosoma mansoni, 46 nucleotides long. The record is from Rfam. Lineage: Eukaryota; Metazoa; Platyhelminthes; Trematoda; Strigeidida; Schistosomatidae.